This 921-nucleotide unclassified non-coding RNA is filed under the name Leishmania donovani. RNAcentral's name for it is "gene:LdHU3.35.4210(CDS-product:riboflavin_kinase/ fmn_adenylyltransferase-like_protein)". The record is from RNAcentral. Lineage: Eukaryota; Euglenozoa; Kinetoplastea; Trypanosomatida; Trypanosomatidae.
GUCGCCCCUCCCCGCUGCGGCUCUAUUCUCUCAACUCUUUUUGGUUGAUUGCUCGACUGCGGCGGUUUUCCUCCGUCAUCAUUAAUGAGGCCGUGGUUUCUGCGCGGUAGGGUAAUUCACGGCUUCGGCCGUGGCGGCACGCAGCUCGGGUACCCCACAGCGAACUUGGAGCUCAGCGAGGCGGCCAUCGACUUCCUGAAGCCUUACGAUAACCUUGUGCUCUGGGGAUGGGGCUGUGUGGAGGCGGCGGAGCCCAACACCUGGGAGGCGCGCGCUGAGGAUGCGUCUCCUGCGCCGCUUGGACCUUUUCCGUUUGUGAUGUCUAUCGGCAACAACCCACAGUUCAAGAACGUAGACGUCAGUGCGGAGGUGCACUUCCUGCACAAGUUUGACGGUGACUUCUACGAGCGUGUCGUACGGAUCAUCACGCUCGAGCGGAUCCGCUCGCAGUCCGCCUUCACAACGCUGGAGGAGCUCAUCAAGACAAUCGACGGCGAUGUGGUGUUUGCCGAGGAGCACUUGAAGAUGCCUGAGUGGGCACCGUACGGGCAACAUGAAAUGGUGAACCCUUCGUGUGUGCCGGCGCAGCUGCACGGCGCAGCCGAGGUUCCAUCCUUCGGCUUUCUUGAGCUUUAGCGUGAGAACGACAGAAAACAGAGCCUACAGUGGAAGGAAACGCUUGAGCGAGACGGCAACUUCUCUCUUGGACGUAGCGCAAGUCUUUUGCACCUGUUCUGUCCAUCUGGUGUUUGUCUCUCGUACUUUCUCUUCGUACCAUGCCUUAUUCUUCUCUUGUGCGUGGAGUUGCGCCUCGAGCAUCAUCACGCGACCCCCUCUCACCCUCCCCCCACAUGUUAAGUUUUUUUUUAUUGUUUGCACAGGCCAGUGGCUCAUCUCGUACUUAAGGCGUUUGCCUCUCUG